CAGUAGUGAAUGGUUAAUGCAGUCACAAUAGGGAAAGUGGAGAUGUGCUGCUUGCAAACAGGAUGUUCUGCCAAGGAGACGGACACAGCCUUGAGAUUAACGGUCCCUUGCUAAUAAGGGAACAUUCCCUUCUUGUGAUAAGGGCUCUGGACAGACUCUGCAGUAAGCCGGAAUUUCACUCCCUUUUGCUGUACAAUAACAUUUAUGCACAUGCACUGUACUGAACAAGUUUGGUCAUACAGUCUGGAAUUCUGCCCAGGAGGGCUAUAUAAAAAUAAACCACGAGCUUGCUUGCUUGCGCAGUUAUUAUUUUCCCUCUGGCCAGAGUGUGUCUGUCUCUUGUAUGUGUGUCUUGUUGUUUUAUGUCAUUUCAUUCGUACUCUCCAGAAAUCUCCUACAUCUGGCACCCAAUGUGGGGCUCGAGUGAAACCAAAAGCUCUUCCACCGAUGGCAGAAAAAGAAACAACUAAAGCGCGAAGCAGAAAAGAUCCAGAUCGUGCUACAAUUUAUGUAAACAAAUAAAAAAGGGGGAAAUGGAGGGUUAAUGCAGCCAUAAUAGGGAAAGUGGGAAUGUGCUGCAGGCGGGACUCUCUGCUCGGUCUCAGUUUUGUAUAACAUGAGCCCUUCAAGAAAUUAACCAAGCCAUAUAAAUAAAAAGAGUUCUAGAUGCCCAUCAUCUAGAGAGAUUCUGCCUAGCCCCCCAAAGGUGGCUGGAUAGCCAAUGAUGGGUAAGACCCUCAGAGGAGGGCAACCUAAGGCAGGCACAGCCACGAGAGGGGCUGGUGAGGCUGGAGGUUAGCCGCCUACAGCUUUACGCCUUGUUCUACAGAACAUCAAUAAAAAUGUCUCAAGGGCUUAAAUAAAAUAAAAAAGGGGGAGAUGAAGGGUUAAUGCAGCCACAAUAGGGAAAGUGGAGAUGUGCUGCUUGCAAACAGGAUGUUCUGCCAAGGAGACGGACACAGCCUUGGUAUUAACGGUCCCUUGCUAAUAAAGGAACAUUCCCUUCUUGUGAUAAGGGCUCUGGACAGACUCUGCAGUAAGCCGGAAUUUCACUCCCUUUUGCUGUACGAUAACAUUUAUGCCCAUGCGCUGUACUGAACAAGUUUGCUCAUACAGUCUGGAAUUCUGUACAGGGGGGCUAUAUAAAAAUAAACCACGAGCUUGCUUGCUUGUGAAGUUAUUAUUUUCCCUCUGGCCAGAGCGUGUCUGUCUCUUGUAUGUGUGUCUUGUUGUUUUAUGUCAUUUCACUCUUAAUCUCCAGAAAUCUCCUACAAGUAGUUUGAACAUUCUUUGGGAUUGCCCUUCUUUAGGAUUGGAAUGAAAACUGACCUUCCAGUCCUGUGGGCACUGCUGAGCUUUCCAAAUUUGCUGGCAUAUUGCAUGUAACACUUUAACAAAAUAUUCUCAUAGAAUUUGCAAUAUAUCAGCUGUAAUUCCAUCACAUUCACUAGCUUUCUUCAUAAUAAUGUUUGCUAAGUCCCACUUGACUUCACAUUCCAGAAUGUCUGUCUCUAGGUGAGUGAUCACACCUUUAUCAUUAUUUGGUUCAUUAAGACAUUUUUUUGCACAGUUCUUUUGUGCAUUCUUGUACUUCUUAAUCUCUUCUACUUUUGUUAGGUCCUUGCAUUUCCUGUCCUUUAUUGUGCCCAUCUUUGCAUGAAAUACUCCUUUUGUUAUCUCUAAUUUUCUUGAAGAGAUCUCUAGUCUUUCCUAUUCUAUUGUUUCCCUCUAUUUCUUCGCAUUUUUCGCUUAAGAAUGUUUUCGUGUCUCUCCUUGCUAUUCUCUGGAACUCUGCAUUCAGUUGGUAUAUCUUUACCAUUCUCUUUUCUCAGCUCUUUUUUUAACGCUUCCUCAGAUAACCACUUUGCCUUCUUGCAUUUCUUUUCCUUGGAGAUGGUUUUAGUCACCACUUC
This 1913-nucleotide long non-coding RNA is filed under the name Ovis aries (sheep). RNAcentral's name for it is "lncRNA (ENSOARG00000026851.1)". Lineage: Eukaryota; Metazoa; Chordata; Mammalia; Artiodactyla; Bovidae. The record is from RNAcentral.